This 99-nucleotide transfer RNA is filed under the name Xylaria grammica. It matches the Rfam family "tRNA". Rfam says of the family: Transfer RNA (tRNA) molecules are approximately 80 nucleotides in length. Their secondary structure includes four short double-helical elements and three loops (D, anti-codon, and T loops). The record is from Rfam by way of RNAcentral. RNAcentral also lists the same sequence under 1 other name. Lineage: Eukaryota; Fungi; Ascomycota; Sordariomycetes; Xylariales; Xylariaceae.
GGUCCCAUAACUCAGUUGGUUAGAGUGUCGUACUAAUAUCAUAAUUCGAUUAUAAUAUCGGUCAUGCGAAAGUCGUGAGUUCGAGCCUCACUGGGACCA